AUUGAACGCUGGCGGAAUGCUUUACACAUGCAAGUCGAGCGGCAGCACGGGGGCAACCCUGGUGGCGAGCGGCGAACGGGUGAGUAAUACAUCGGAACAUGCCCAGUCGUGGGGGAUAACACUUCGAAAGAAGUGCUAAUACCGCAUACGUCCUGAGGGGGAAAGCGGGGGAUCGCAGGACCUCGCGCGAUUGGAGUGGCCGAUGUCAGAUUAGCUAGUUGGUGGGGUAAAGGCCUACCAAGGCAACGAUCUGUAGCUGGUCUGAGAGGAUGAUCAGCCACACUGGGACUGAGACACGGCCCAGACUCCUACGGGAGGCAGCAGUGGGGAAUUUUGGACAAUGGGGGCAACCCUGAUCCAGCCAUUCCGCGUGAGUGAAGAAGGCCUUCGGGUUGUAAAGCUCUUUCGGCAGGAACGAAACGGUGAGCUCUAACAUAGCUUGCUAAUGACGGUACCUGAAGAAGAAGCACCGGCUAACUACGUG
Molecule: ribosomal RNA, 484 nt
Filed under: uncultured bacterium
Lineage: Bacteria
Description: partial 16S ribosomal RNA
Rfam family: Bacterial small subunit ribosomal RNA
Source: RNAcentral